RNAcentral lists this ribosomal RNA (218 nucleotides) under uncultured fungus. Its description in RNAcentral is "partial small subunit ribosomal RNA". The stretch from base 101 to 218 matches the Rfam family "Eukaryotic small subunit ribosomal RNA", at positions 745 to 864 of the family's 1831-position model. Lineage: Eukaryota; Fungi. The record is from RNAcentral.
GGUAUGAUGCGUUGGUCCUGGACUCCGGUUCGUGUGGCUUUUCGCGUCUACCAUCCUUCCCCUUAGAUUUGCAGGCCUGUAAAAGGGUCGGCUGCUAUUGGGAUCUUUUACUUUGAAAAAAUUAGAGUGUUUAAAGCAGGCCUGUGCCUUGAAUACAUUAGCAUGGAAUAAUAAUAUAGGACUGGAUUCCUAUUUUGUUGGUUUUCUGGAGUUUAGUA